Molecule: long non-coding RNA, 972 nt
Organism: Oncorhynchus tshawytscha (Chinook salmon)
Lineage: Eukaryota; Metazoa; Chordata; Actinopteri; Salmoniformes; Salmonidae
Source: Ensembl
CGGUAAUCCAGAGUGGUGGGGAAAAGGUACAGGACAGCAGGCAGGGUCAGGUCAGGCAGAGGUCGGUAAUCCAGAGUGGUGGGAAAAAGGUACAGGACGGCAGGCAGGGUCAGGUCAGGCAGAGGUCGGUAAUCCAGAGUGGUGGGAAAAAGGUACAGGACGGCAGGCAGGGUCAGGUCAGGCAGAGGUCGGUAAUCCAGAGUGGUGGGGAAAAGGUACAGGACGGCAGGCAGGGUCAGGUCAGGCAGAGGUCGGUAAUCCAGAGUGGUGGGGAAAAGGUACAGGACGGCAGGCAGGGUCAGGUCAGGCAGAGGUCGGUAAUCCAGAGUAGGGGCAAAGGUAGAGGACGACAGGCAGGGUCAGGUCAGGCAGGUGGGCUCAGAGUCCAGACAGGCAAGCGUCAAAACCAGGAGGAAGAGAAAAAGAGAGACUGGGGAAAAGCAGGAGCUGAGAAAAAUGCUAGUAGACAAGACCAACUGGUAACAGACAAACAGAGAACACCGGUAUAAAUACACAGGGGAUAAUGAGGAAGAUGGGCGACAUCUGGAGGGGUGUGGAGACAAUCACAAGGACUGGUGAAACAGAUCAGGGUGUGACAGUAGGCCUAACCAAUAGAAAGUUGAUGGGAUCCUCCUCUUGUUAAUAGAGGCCAUCACUCAGUUUUGUCAUGCAAAUGCAUAGUCUAUAGAAAGGAUGCGCAACAUCAGCUCAUGGGCUCUCAUGAAGUGUUUAUAUUUUCGAUUACAUUUGCACUGUUGUCAGAGUAAUUAGAGGGAGUUUGGUAGGCUACUAAUGACCAGCAGCAUUAUCAGAGCUUGGCACCCUCCGGCACCCUGAUUACCGUGACUAAAUGGUACGCGGAAUUUGACUGCAGUCAUGACUCGUGACCUCCGGUGUGGUAUUAAUAUGGUCACCGUAACAGCCCUGUAUCUGACCCGAACACAGAGAGCACAUCGCUCGGCUUUGUUUGAC